This 253-nucleotide ribosomal RNA is filed under the name uncultured bacterium. RNAcentral's name for it is "partial 16S ribosomal RNA". It matches the Rfam family "Bacterial small subunit ribosomal RNA", at positions 524 to 776 of the family's 1533-position model. The record is from RNAcentral.
UACGUAAGGUGCGAGCGUUGUCCGGAUUCACUGGGUGUAAAGGGUCCGCAGGCGGGUUGGUUAGUCGUUGGUGAAAUUACAAAGCUUAACUCUGGAACUGCCGACGAUACUGCCGAUCUUGAGUACUGAAGAGGAAGAUGGAAUUCCUGGUGUAGCGGUGAAAUGCGUAGAUAUCAGGAAGAACACCGGUGGCGAAGGUGGUCUUCUGGUCCGUUACUGACGCUCAGGGACGAAAGCGUGGGGAGCAAACAGG